This 253-nucleotide ribosomal RNA is filed under the name uncultured bacterium. RNAcentral's name for it is "partial 16S ribosomal RNA". It matches the Rfam family "Bacterial small subunit ribosomal RNA", at positions 524 to 776 of the family's 1533-position model. The record is from RNAcentral.
UACGAAGGGUGCAAGCGUUACUCGGAAUUACUGGGCGUAAAGCGUGCGUAGGUGGUUUGUUAAGUCUGUUGUGAAAGCCCCGGGCUCAACCUGGGAAUGGCAAUGGAUACUGGCAAGCUAGAGUGCGGUAGAGGGUAGUGGAAUUCCCGGUGUAGCGGUGAAAUGCGUAGAGAUCGGGAGGAACACCAGUGGCGAAGGCGGCUCUCUGGGCCUGUCCUGACGCUCAGGCGCGAAAGCUAGGGGAGCAAACAGG